GACGAACGCUGGCGGCGUGCCUAAUACAUGCAAGUCGAACGCAGUGGGGACGGGUGAGUAACACGUGGGUAACCUCCCAUCAGAGGGGAUAACACUUGGAAACAGGUGCUAAACCGAUACUGAUGGAUGGACCCGCGGUGCAUUAGCUAGUUGGUGAGGUAACGGCUCACCAAGGCCACGAUGCAUAGCCGACCUGAGAGGGGGAUCGGCCACCCUGGGACGGAGACACGGCCCAUACUCCUACGGGAGGCAGCAGUAGGGAAUCUUCGGCAAUGGGCGCAAGCCUGAUGCAGCCAUGCCGCGUGUGUGAAGAAGGCCUUCGGGUUGUAAAGUACUUUCAGCGGGGAGGCGUUACCCGCACAUAAAGCCCCGGCUAACUCCGUGCCAGCAGCCGCGGUAAUUC
Molecule: ribosomal RNA, 403 nt
Filed under: uncultured bacterium
Lineage: Bacteria
Description: partial 16S ribosomal RNA
Rfam family: Bacterial small subunit ribosomal RNA
Source: RNAcentral